UACGUAGGGGGCAAGCGUUGUCCGGAAUCAUUGGGCGUAAAGCGCGCGUAGGUGGCCCGGUAAGUCCGCUGUAAAAGUCCAGGGCUCAACCCUGGAAAGCCGGUGGAUACUGUCGGGCUCGAGUCCGGAAGAGGCGAGUGGAAUUCCUGGUGUAGCGGUGGAAUGCGCAGAUAUCAGGAGGAACACCGAUGGCGAAGGCAGCUCGCUGGGACGGUACUGACACUGAGGCGCGAAAGCGUGGGGAGCGAACAGG
Molecule: ribosomal RNA, 253 nt
Filed under: uncultured bacterium
Lineage: Bacteria
Description: partial 16S ribosomal RNA
Rfam family: Bacterial small subunit ribosomal RNA
Source: RNAcentral